RNAcentral lists this ribosomal RNA (253 nucleotides) under uncultured bacterium. RNAcentral's name for it is "partial 16S ribosomal RNA". It matches the Rfam family "Bacterial small subunit ribosomal RNA", at positions 524 to 776 of the family's 1533-position model. The record is from RNAcentral.
UACGUAGGGGGCAAGCGUUGUCCGGAAUCAUUGGGCGUAAAGCGCGUGUAGGCGGCUUGGUAAGUCUGCUCUGAAAGCCCGGGGCUCAACCCCGGGAGGCGGGUGGAUACUGUCAAGCUCGAGUCCGGAAGAGGAGUGUGGAAUUCCUGGUGUAGCGGUGAAAUGCGCAGAUAUCAGGAGGAAUACCGGUGGCGAAGGCGGCAUCCUGGACCGACAUUGACGCUGAUGAGCGAAAGCUAGGGGAGCAAACGGG